GGAAGAGUUGUAUUAUAUUAAGGCUACAUGAAAAGGGUCAUUGACAGAUUUUUACUUUCAAGGAAUACGUGUCAAAUUUUCAUUGGACAAUUAAAAAAAAAAAAGAAGCAGACAAGUGCUAACGACAGAAUACUGGUCAACUUCCAUGUCUACUAACCCCAUCUAAGUAGCAUUACACUAUUAUAUUUUCAACAUUCUUGCUACAUGUACACUUCCCUUUACACCAUAACUUACCAAAAUUACACUUACACAAUUUCACACCACCUUUCACCUUUUACAUAUUUAAUCCAACCAUUAUAAAACUGCUACAUUAUUUAUCUAUCAACCAAGUAGUAAAGGAAGAUGUACAAAUAGCUUUACCCUAUUUUGAGCAUGUGUAUAAAGUGCCUUAGAAGAAUAUAAAAUAGGUUCGUUAUUAUAGAUGAUACUAUAUUUUAUGAUGAUCGAGAAAUUAACCUAAAAUUAGAGAAAAAUGAAGAAGACUCAAGAGUUGGACGUAAAUUCAAGAAACCCAAUGAUGAAUGGAUGUGAACCUUCAUUAAAUUUUUCAGAAUUUCGGUUAUGUUGCAGAUCUCGCCUUGAGCGGGAUUUGUGUCAACUUAAGUGCCUAGUUUUCAGAUUCGGCUCUCCCAACCUGCCAACAAUCAUACAUAAAACUCAUAAUUUUCUUUAUUUUUUGAACAAUUUCAACAAGUACUGCAAUGUAAUUGCUUAACAAAAAAUAUAUUGAACACAAAUUAACAAAAUAAAUCAAGCAAU
This 759-nucleotide long non-coding RNA is filed under the name Olea europaea (common olive). RNAcentral's name for it is "long non-coding RNA (OEUR_LNC004365)". Lineage: Eukaryota; Viridiplantae; Streptophyta; Magnoliopsida; Lamiales; Oleaceae. The record is from RNAcentral.